Molecule: unclassified non-coding RNA, 70 nt
Filed under: Flavobacterium chilense
Lineage: Bacteria; Pseudomonadati; Bacteroidota; Flavobacteriia; Flavobacteriales; Flavobacteriaceae
Description: Flavo-1 RNA
Source: RNAcentral
CCUUUGAUUUUACGUAAAUGGAAAGAGGGGGAUGUUUUUCAUCCUUUUGGAAUGCACGGAAAGUCUAAAA